Long non-coding RNA from Thalassophryne amazonica, 150 nucleotides. RefSeq lists it as uncharacterized. NCBI's taxonomy places the organism in Eukaryota, Metazoa, Chordata, Actinopteri, Batrachoidiformes, Batrachoididae. The record is from RefSeq and is a predicted model, not a curated record. The transcript is spliced from 3 exons.
GUAAUAGGUGGACGUGAGGCUGAGGCGAGGUCAAAGCAAACUGUUUUCAGUGGCACAGAGUAACAGUGUUGUCAGGACUGAAGCAGAAUCAGAGUCAAAAAACAAGCACAGUUCAAAAAAAGCACAGUGAGGUACAAUACAAUGAUUGAA